Molecule: unclassified non-coding RNA, 345 nt
Filed under: soil metagenome
Description: partial contains 5.8S ribosomal RNA, internal transcribed spacer 2, and large subunit ribosomal RNA
Rfam family: 5.8S ribosomal RNA (bases 1-120)
Source: RNAcentral
GAUGAAGAACGCAGUGAAAUGCGAUACGUAAUGUGAAUUGCAGAAUUCAGUGAAUCAUCGAGUCUUUGAACGCAAAUUGCGCCCCCUGGUAUUCCGGGGGGCAUGCCUGUCCGAGCGUCAUUGCUGCCCUCAAGCACGGCUUGUGUGUUGGGCCUCCGUCCUCCUCCCGGGGGACGGGCCCGAAAGGCAGCGGCGGCACCGCGUCCGGUCCUCGAGCGUAUGGGGCUUCGUCACCCGCUCUUGUAGGCCCGGCCGGCGCUUGCCGACACAUCAAUCUUUUUUCCAGGUUGACCUCGGAUCAGGUAGGGAUACCCGCUGAACUUAAGCAUAUCAAUAAGCGGAGGA